This is a microRNA precursor of Arabidopsis thaliana (thale cress), 101 nucleotides long. It matches the Rfam family "MIR1888 microRNA precursor family". Lineage: Eukaryota; Viridiplantae; Streptophyta; Magnoliopsida; Brassicales; Brassicaceae. The record is from Rfam.
CCAAAUUCUUAGGCUAAGAUUUGUGAAGAAAAGGCUCUUAUAUAAGAGCUUUUACUCUUAUAUUUAAGUUUUUUCUUCCCAAAUCUUAGAUUAAGAUUUGG